CGCCUCCCGCGGACCAAGGGUUGCAGAAGCCUGGCAAAUACUAAACAAACGACCUUUGGGACUGACUUUGUGAGCCGAGAAGCGACAAGCUAGUCACAGCUUGCUAGGCGUCCACUUGUGGCGGGUGAACGAAUCCCUGCACCUCGGGCCGUAGGAGACUCGAGUUUCGGCUACUCCUGCCUGCAGCCCUCGGUGGGACACAGUCGGUGUCCGGCAGGCUACGCCCCACGCCUCCUCAUUGGCUCCUCCAGACACGUGGUAGGGUGGUCCCGCCUCCGGGUGGCCUGAGAGGCGGCACGCAAAGCCGCAUGGACAGCUUGGCGCCAGGCCGAUGGAGACGACGGAGAAUCGAGGAGCUGCCGGUUGCAGGGGACGCGAAACGGGCAUGCAGGAGGUCAGAAGCUGAGUACAGCAGCCACAUGGUAAGCACCUGUGCCCUGCUGUCCUGGAGCACAGAGGACCAGGAGCCACGGCCUCGAGGCCCGCCUGUGCCGCGACCGGAAUGUAACCAGGAGAGGCCGAGCUCAGUGAUUCUGCAGAACAGCGGAAGGAGUUCAGCCCAGCCUUGCCCGAGAUGUAUUGCAGGGGAAUCUGGCCAUUUCAACCAUACCGGGAGUCAUUAGAAGAUGCGAUGGAAAGAAGGAAGAAUCCAGUUGGGUUUGAAUCCUCGUAUGAUGGCCAGCGCCAAUCCCUUACAGCAUUCCUAGGUGCCCAACCGUUCAAAUGACAGCCAGGGCUCCGUGCAGGGGUUAUUAGCCUCUCAGGGCUUACAUGGAAGAGCCCAGUCCAGGCUAACCCUGGUGUGUGGUCAUGGUGAAACCCACACAGCAGAACUGGAACAGGGGAAACCAAGCUGCUGCAACCAGUGUGGUGCUGUUUGUGAGAGAGAUGGUCCAACAUGGCAGGCAUGGCCUUUGCCAACCCUGGGAAGAUGCCAGCACUGCUUAUAGAUGGUUUAGAGACUAUAGCCCACGCCCGAACAGCCAAGACUGGGAGAGAUAGCUUGUGGUGUGUGGCCUUAAAAUGUCGGGGGGGUGGUGGUGUUUGUUUUGUUUUUGAGCUUUAGUUUUGUUUUCCUCAAAAAUGACAUUAAGAAAUGACAUAAGUCUUGUGAAUAAAUGCAAACCUCCAAGUUCCCACUUUCCUUUCCCCUGUACACUCUGCCCAUUCUCAUGGAAAGGGAUGUCCGCGAUUUUGUGCUAGGCAUUCAGGUGCUUGCAGAGGCACACAGUUCUGUGAACCCAACAAUCCCUCUGGCCAUCAUCCACUCCAUGAGAAACAUCCCUACUCCAUGUUAGAAUUCAGCAGAAUCUCACUCUGUCUUUUGUCUGCUGAAAAUGUCAUGAGUAGCCUUAAAGAACCACCUUAAACUUUUAAAAAUUA
Molecule: RNA transcript, 1383 nt
Organism: Peromyscus maniculatus bairdii (prairie deer mouse)
Lineage: Eukaryota; Metazoa; Chordata; Mammalia; Rodentia; Cricetidae
Gene: C1H10orf143
Gene name: chromosome 1 C10orf143 homolog
Source: RefSeq, a predicted model, not a curated record